This 395-nucleotide ribosomal RNA is filed under the name uncultured bacterium. RNAcentral describes it as "partial 16S ribosomal RNA". It matches the Rfam family "Bacterial small subunit ribosomal RNA", at positions 523 to 918 of the family's 1533-position model. The record is from RNAcentral.
AUACGUAGGGUGCAAGCGUUAAUCGGAAUUACUGGGCGUAAAGCGUGCGCAGGCGGUUUUGUAAGACAGAGGUGAAAUCCCCGGGCUCAACCUGGGAACUGCCUUUGUGACUGCAAGGCUAGAGUACGGCAGAGGGGGAUGGAAUUCCGCGUGUAGCAGUGAAAUGCGUAGAUAUGCGGGGGAACACCGAUGGCGAAGGCAAUCCCCUGGGCCUGUACUGACGCUCAUGCACGAAAGCGUGGGGAGCAAACAGUAUUAGAUACCCUGGUAGUCCACUCCCUAAACUAUGUCAACUGGUUGUUGGGUCUUCAUUGACUCAGUAACGAAGCUAACGCGUGAAGUUGACCGCCUGGGGAGUACGGCCGCAAGGUUGAAACUCAAAUGAAUUGACGGGG